Molecule: ribosomal RNA, 252 nt
Filed under: uncultured bacterium
Lineage: Bacteria
Description: partial 16S ribosomal RNA
Rfam family: Bacterial small subunit ribosomal RNA
Source: RNAcentral
UACGUAGGUCCCGAGCGUUGUCCGGAUUUAUUGGACGUAAAGCGAGCGCAGGUGGUUUAUUAAGUCUGGUGUAAAAGGCAGUGGCUCAACCAUUGUAUGCAUUGGAAACUGGUAGACUUGAGUGCAGGAGAGGAGAGUGGAAUUCCAUGUGUAGCGGUGAAAUGCGUAGAUAUAUGGAGGAACACCGGUGGCGAAAGCGGCUCUCUGGCCUGUAACUGACACUGAGGCUCGAAAGCGUGGGGAGCAAACAGG